This 440-nucleotide ribosomal RNA is filed under the name uncultured bacterium. RNAcentral's name for it is "partial 16S ribosomal RNA". It matches the Rfam family "Bacterial small subunit ribosomal RNA", at positions 338 to 795 of the family's 1533-position model. The record is from RNAcentral.
CCUACGGGUGGCAGCAGUGGGGGAUAUUGCACAAUGGGGGAAACCCUGAUGCAGCGACGCCGCGUGGGUGAAGAAGCGCCUCGGCGCGUAAAGCCCUGUCAGCAGGGAAGAAAAUGACGGUAUCUGAAGAAGAAGCCCCGGCUAACUACGUGCCAGCAGCCGCGGUAAUACGUAGGGGGCAAGCGUUACCCGGAUUUACUGGGUGUAAAGGGGGCGCAGGCGGGGAGGCAAGCCAGAUGUGAAAGCCCGGGGCCCAACCCCGGGACUGCUCUUGGAACUGCGUGGCUAGAGUGCAGGAGGGGCAGGCGGAAUUCCUGGUGUAGCGGUGAAAUGCGUAGAUAUCAGGAGGAACACCGGUGGCGAAGGCGGCCUGCUGGACUGCAACUGACGUUGAGGCCCGAAAGCGUGGGGAGCAAACAGGAUUAGAUACCCUUGUAGUC